GAUGAACGCUAGCGGCAGGCCUAAUACAUGCAAGUCGAACGAGAAGUUUUUCUUCGGAGAGACGGAAAGUGGCGCACGGGUGCGUAACGCGUAUGCAACCUACCCUUAACAGGGGGAUAGCCCGAAGAAAUUCGGAUUAAUACCCCGUAGUAUCUAAAUAAGGCAUCUUAUUAAGAUUAAAGAUUUAUCGGUUAAGGAUGGGCAUGCGUAACAUUAGCUAGUUGGUGAGGUAAUGGCUCACCAAGGCUACGAUGUUUAGGGGUUCUGAGAGGAUGAUCCCCCACACUGGUACUGAGAUACGGACCAGACUCCUACGGGAGGCAGCAGUAGGGAAUAUUGGUCAAUGGACGAGAGUCUGAACCAGCCAUGCCGCGUGCAGGAAGACGGCCUUCUGGGUUGUAAACUGCUUUUAUACAGGAACAAAAAGGCCAUGUGUGGCAAACUGAGUGUACUGUAUGAAUAAGCACCGGCUAACUCCG
This 479-nucleotide ribosomal RNA is filed under the name uncultured Flammeovirgaceae bacterium. Its description in RNAcentral is "bacterial SSU rRNA". It matches the Rfam family "Bacterial small subunit ribosomal RNA", at positions 28 to 505 of the family's 1533-position model. The record is from RNAcentral. Lineage: Bacteria; Pseudomonadati; Bacteroidota; Cytophagia; Cytophagales; Flammeovirgaceae.